This 998-nucleotide small RNA is filed under the name uncultured Gemmatimonas sp. Its description in RNAcentral is "bacterial SSU rRNA". The stretch from base 1 to 472 matches the Rfam family "Bacterial small subunit ribosomal RNA", at positions 1064 to 1533 of the family's 1533-position model. The record is from RNAcentral. Lineage: Bacteria; Pseudomonadati; Gemmatimonadota; Gemmatimonadia; Gemmatimonadales; Gemmatimonadaceae.
GUCGUGAGAUGUUGGGUUAAGUCCCGCAACGAGCGCAACCCCUGUUCUUAGUUGCCAGCGCGUAAUGGCGGGGACUCUAGGAAGACUGCCGGUGCCAAACCGGAGGAAGGUGGGGACGACGUCAAGUCAUCAUGGUCCUUACGUCUAGGGCUACACACGUGCUACAAUGGGCGGGACAGCGGGGGCCGAGGCAGCAAUGCUCAGGCAAUCCCAAAACCCGUCCUCAGUUCGGAUUGUCGUCUGCAACUCGACGGCAUGAAGCUGGAAUCGCUAGUAAUCGUGGAUCAGCACCGCCACGGUGAAUACGUUCCCGGGCCUUGUACACACCGCCCGUCACGCCAUGGAAGUGGCGAGCGCCCGAAGUCCGUGUCGGAACCCGCAAGGGGCCAAGCGGCCGAAGGCGAGCGUCAUGACUGGGGCGAAGUCGUAACAAGGUAGCCGUAGGGGAACCUGCGGCUGGAUCACCUCCUUAACGGAGAGUGGCGAGUAGAAAAGGAGAAAUCCUUCUCGAAAGCUCUCAUCUAGUUAUCGCCCGCCUUUCACAUCCAGAUCUCAAUCUCGAUUUCCACAUACGCCGGCUCGAAUCCGCUUUGCCGCGAAUUCGUGCCCGGAGAAAAAAAUGAGAGCUCGCAAGAGCUCUCGAUGUGCAAGCGAGCGGGCGCUAACUCCCGCGCGAUGUUUGACAACGGAUGAUAGAAGUGAUCGUGGGAUUUGAAGGUGUCGGAAUCCUGAUAAGAAUUCCGAUGCCGCGAAUCAACACUAGUGAUUCAAUUUCGCGGCCCCGACUUGACGGUGGGGGCUGUAUCUGUCUCAGGGCGCGAGCUCUGGGGCAAAUGAUUGUAUCGCUCGUUAGAUCGCGCGUGUUUCUGUUUGAACAAGUUAUUUGAUCAAGCGAAAGAAAGUAUGUGGGGGAUGCCUAGGUACACAGAGGCGAUGAAGGCCGUGGUAAGCUGCGAUAAGCCAGGGGGAGCGGCACACACGCUAUGAGCCCUGGAUGG